Molecule: long non-coding RNA, 734 nt
Organism: Zingiber officinale
Lineage: Eukaryota; Viridiplantae; Streptophyta; Magnoliopsida; Zingiberales; Zingiberaceae
Exons: 3
Source: RefSeq, a predicted model, not a curated record
UUUUCUGUGUUUUCUCCCUCGCGCACCCGAGCAGCCGCCCGAGCUCUCUCCCUUUGCCCUAACCGCCGGCUACUCGGCGGUUCUCCAUCUUCUUCCUCUCCUCUCCUCUGCCGUUCCCCAGCCGACGCCGAGCAUCGGCCACAAGGGCUUUCUGUGCCCUAGCGUCGGCCCGCCGUCGCCGCCGCACCUUGCCCUAACCGCCGACGCCCCUCCUCACUGCCUCUGUGACGUCCGACCGUCAGCCCUAGCCACCGUCGACCACCCUGAGCCCUAGCACCGGCCGAUUCUCUGGACCGAGCAGUGCCGGCCAGCCGCUCCUCAGCCCUAGUCUCUGCCCUAGUUUCUGCCGCCGACGAGGUGAAGCCGACGCCGACCCCAAUCGUCGGAAACCUACUCUCUCAUUGUGGAGUUGCUCACCGUCACCACAGCCGGCAGGCGGCCGCCCCUUUGCCCUGGUCUCUGCCGUGGGAUUCCAAGUGCCGAGACUUCUCUGCCCUAGAUUGCCAUUUCACAGAGCAACGCUGGCACACCACAGUUGCCGGCAGAGAGACAAAGAGGGGACUCCAAAUUAGGGUUUGCUUUGUUGCGGAUUUGCUUGGUUCCAGCAUCAAAAGUAGGUUGGUUGCUAUGGAAAAUUGCUGUUGGAGAUCACCACUUCCUCCUACUUGAUUCGGUUGACUUGAGGGCUCUGAUUCGAAACGAGUAUCUCGGAGUUGGAUUGGAUCUUUCUAUUU